RNAcentral lists this ribosomal RNA (434 nucleotides) under uncultured bacterium. Its description in RNAcentral is "partial 16S ribosomal RNA". It matches the Rfam family "Bacterial small subunit ribosomal RNA", at positions 29 to 507 of the family's 1533-position model. The record is from RNAcentral.
AGCGAACGCUGGCGGCAGGCCUAACACAUGCAAGUCGAACGAACCUUUCGGGGUUAGUGGCGGACGGGUGAGUAACACGUGGGAACGUGCCUUUAGGUUCGGAAUAACUCAGGUAAACUUGUGCUAAUACCGAAUGUGCCCUUCGGGGGAAAGAUUAAUCGCCUUUAGAGCGGCCCGCGUCUGAUUAGCUAGUUGGUUGAGGUAAUGGCUCACCAAGGCGACGAUCAGUAGCUGGUCUGAGAGGAUGAUCAGCCACAUUGGGACUGAGACACGGCCGAAAAUGCUACGGAAGGCAGCAGUGGGGAAUCUAGCGCAAUGGGCGAAAGCAUGACGAAGCAAUGCCGCGUGAAAGAUGAAGGUCUUAGGAUUGUAAAAUUCUUUAACAGGGGAAGAUAAUGACGGUACCCGGAGAAGAAGACCCGGCUAACUUCGUG